This is a long non-coding RNA of Panthera uncia (snow leopard), 1307 nucleotides long. RefSeq lists it as uncharacterized. The record is from RefSeq and is a predicted model, not a curated record. NCBI's taxonomy places the organism in Eukaryota, Metazoa, Chordata, Mammalia, Carnivora, Felidae. The transcript has 3 exons.
AAGGAGAGCAUUUCUGGGGGAGGCUUUAAAAAGCAGUUGUGGACCAGGGUUAGAGUUGGUUCGCUGUGGCUUUUCGAGAAACCCUUGCGCCAUUAUUUGAGGAACAGCAACUCUGGCUCCAGUUAAGAUCUGUUUUCCAGUUAGCCUGGGGUUUCAGUUGCCAGUGCCAAAAGGCAGUCAGGAAGCAGAUCGUCCUGAUUUAUGGCCAGAAGGUCAAUAGCCUAAAGCUAUCUCACAAUGCCUCUGUCAGUCACUUCUCUUCAUCUCAUCGUGUAGGCAGUAUCUCAUCUCACAUCAUCGCAGGAAGGGUGAUUCUCUACUCAUCGUGGAGAUGGGGAAUGAGGUCACAGUGAAGCUGGACUUUCCUUGGUCAGACUGUGCUUCUUUGUGGGACCCACAGAGAUCUCGUCGUCAUCUUCAUUCCAAGGAACUGAGCUCCAGGAUAUGUCAUAAAAAGAAGCCCCUUAUGGUAUAGAAAACCAAAGAUCCAUGUAGAACAGUGGAUGGAGGGACUCCAGGAUAGAGGGCUCUCUGCAAAUACAGGAGAUAGUUAUGGUAUUCAAGGUAAAUAUAAACAAAUCUAUGAAUACACACACAAGCAACCAAAGUAACACAGGGAAUAAAGACUUAGUAGUGUAAAGUGGAAAACCGUUCACAUAUAUUUAAUGCAAAAGCAUUUCCUUCUGAAUGUAAAUCCUUAGAGACAAGGAAACAGUCAUCUUUAAUUGAAAAAUGGGAUAUCCUCUGUUGGAUGUGGAGGAAUUGAAGAUCUUAAUUAGUCUCUUCCUUUGUGAAUUUGAUACUCAUGGAGAGAGAGAGAGAGAGAGAGAGAGAGAGAGAGAGAGAGAGAGAAACAGAGUCCAUUUCUGGGUUCCCUGAAGCUGUAAAAGUGUCAGAAUUACAGAAAUGAGCAAAUACAAAAAGCAGCAGGAUUAUAAUGGUAGGUACCAGGGACUAGGGCAUUUAGGAACAAAAAACAGAAUGGAAGGAAAAGAUAUGAAUGUCUUAGUUGAUUAUACUCAACAACACGAGUGUGAAGUUAUUCUGUUACUAGAAUUACACAUAAGCAUAGAAUGUUGGACGAGGAAGUGGGGGUGUCUUCCUUCUGAUAUCCUCAGAUGCAGGUCUUUUGCAGAGUUGUGAUAUACUAAGCACACAGCUGUAGCUUUAGCCUGAGUUAAGCCAAGUAACUUUGGGCAACUUAAUCACUCUGUGCCUCAAUCUCUCCAUAUGUAAAACGAGUGUAAUAACAGUACCCGUUCAUAGAGUUUUAGGAGAAUUACAUGAAUAAAGCACUUAGAACAGCC